Molecule: long non-coding RNA, 376 nt
Filed under: Prunus dulcis (almond)
Lineage: Eukaryota; Viridiplantae; Streptophyta; Magnoliopsida; Rosales; Rosaceae
Description: sRNA ncRNA
Source: RNAcentral
UUGCAUUGUUAGAGGGAGUAAAAAGAAGUCAAGAAUAACAAAAUAUUCUAAAUAUCUUUUUAUUUGGAAAGGAAGGUUUCAAUUGAGUGCUAAAAGAUCCAGAAUCAAUAUGAAGCAAUUGAAAAUUUUAUUCGGAUUUUUCCUCAAUGAAAGGCUUGAAUUCGAGGAUGAAUUCUUUCCAACCGGAGGAGUUUGAUGUAGGAGCAUGGGGGGUGGAUCAAGACAUAUAUUUGCCAUUUAAUUAGUUAUUUAAUGAGAUAUUGUUAUUUUCUUAUUUAGGUUGUUUUAGGAUAUCUUUCAUUGUUUAUAUGUGAUUUUAUAAUAACUAGUUUACUUUUGGGCCAAGUAGCUUUGAUGCCGAAGUCUUGUAAAGCGU